ACGGGAGGCAGCAGUAGGGAAUAUUGCACAAUGGGGGAAACCCUGAUGCAGCAACGCCACGUGUGGGAAGACGCAUUUCGGUGUGUAAACCACUGUCGUGAGGGAAUAAGGCAUCGUCUCGGCGAUGUUGAAUGUACCUCGAAAGGAAGCACCGGCAAACUUCGUGCCAGCAGCCGCGGUAAUACGAGGGGUGCAAGCGUUGUUCGGAAUCACUGGGCGUAAAGGGAGCGCAGGCGGAGAUGCAAGCGGUCUGUACAAUCCCGGGGCCUAACCCCGGACCUGCAGACCGGACUGUUUCUCUUGGAUAGUUCAGGGGCAAGCGGAAUUCCUGGUGUAGCGGUGGAAUGCGUAGAGAUCAGGAAGAACACCGAUGGCGAAGGCAGCCAGCUGGGGGCUUAUCGACGCUCAUGCUCGAAAGUGCGGGUAGCAAACAGGAUUAGAUACCCUGGUA
Molecule: ribosomal RNA, 451 nt
Filed under: uncultured Fibrobacter sp.
Lineage: Bacteria; Pseudomonadati; Fibrobacterota; Fibrobacteria; Fibrobacterales; Fibrobacteraceae
Description: partial 16S ribosomal RNA
Rfam family: Bacterial small subunit ribosomal RNA
Source: RNAcentral